GACAACGCUGGCGGCGUGGAUUAGGCAUGCAAGUCGAACGGUAGGAUACCUUCGGGUAUCUGAGAGUGGCGAACGGGUGAGUAACACGUAGGUGAUCUACCCUCAAGAUUGGGACAACCCAGGGAAACUUGGGCUAAUACCGGAUGAAAGCAGCAGUGAUGUUGUUUGAAAGGUGGCGUAAGCUGCCGUUUGGGGAUGAGCCUGCGCUCUAUUAGUUAGUUGGCGGGGUAAAGGCCCACCAAGGCGAUGAUAGAUAGGCGGCCUUAACGGGUGGUCGCCCACACUGGGAUUGAGAUACGGCCCAGACUCCUACGGGAGGCAGCAGUCGAGAAUAGUCUACAAUGGUCGAAAGACUGAUAGUGCGACGCCGCGUGAACGAAGAAGCCCUUCGGGGUGUAAAGUUCUUUUAUAUGUGAGCAGUGAUUCCUAUGUGAAUAGCAUGGGAGUAGAGAUAUUAGCAUAUGAAUAAGCAACGGCUAACUCCGUG
This 487-nucleotide ribosomal RNA is filed under the name uncultured bacterium. RNAcentral's name for it is "bacterial SSU rRNA". It matches the Rfam family "Bacterial small subunit ribosomal RNA", at positions 32 to 507 of the family's 1533-position model. The record is from RNAcentral.